AUGGAGGGCGUGCUGCUGCUGCUCCUCCUCCUCAUGCCGGCGUCGGCAACGGCGAUCGGGAUCACCUGCGGCAGCGGCCGGAACUACACGGCCAACACCACCUUCCAGUCCAGCCUCUCCGUGCUCGCCGCCACCAACUACGACGAGGUGAACGCCCUCCAACCAGGCUGCAUCCUGGGCUUCUCCGGCGACGCCGGCUUCCUCGGCCAGGCAUCAAGUGUCACCGGGAACGGCACCUUCUUCCAGUACUGGAACCCGGUGAACCUCCCCGGCAACGCCCGCGUCAUCGCGACUGCCGUCCGCGAGCUCCUCAACGAGACGGCACGGGACGCGGCCGCCUCGGCCAGGGGGUUCGCCACGGCCUUCAUGGACUCCAUUGGCGGCGCCGACGCUCUACUCCCUGGCGCAAUGCACGCCGGACCUGUCCGCCCGUGA
Molecule: ribosomal RNA, 435 nt
Filed under: Triticum aestivum (bread wheat)
Lineage: Eukaryota; Viridiplantae; Streptophyta; Magnoliopsida; Poales; Poaceae
Description: partial small subunit ribosomal RNA
Source: RNAcentral